CGGGCGGCAGCAGUGGGGAAUCUUAGACAAUGGGGGAAACCCUGAUCUAGCCAUGCCGCGUGAUCGAUGAAGGCCUUAGGGUUGUAAAGAUCUUUCAGUUGGGAAGAUAAUGACGGUACCAACAGAAGAAGCCCCGGCUAACUCCGUGCCAGCAGCCGCGGUAAUACGGAGGGGGCUAGCGUUAUUCGGAAUUACUGGGCGUAAAGCGCACGUAGGCGGACUUGAAAGUUGGGGGUGAAAGCCCAGGGCUCAACCCUGGAACUGCCCUCAAAACUCCAGGUCUUGAGGUCGAGAGAGGUGAGUGGAAUUCCGAGUGUAGAGGUGAAAUUCGUAGAUAUUCGGAGGAACACCAGUGGCGAAGGCGGCUCACUGGCUCGAUACUGACGCUGAGGUGCGAAAGCGUGGGGAGCAAACAGGAUUAGAUACCCUAGU
RNAcentral lists this ribosomal RNA (432 nucleotides) under uncultured Rhodobacter sp. RNAcentral's name for it is "bacterial SSU rRNA". It matches the Rfam family "Bacterial small subunit ribosomal RNA", at positions 342 to 791 of the family's 1533-position model. Lineage: Bacteria; Pseudomonadati; Pseudomonadota; Alphaproteobacteria; Rhodobacterales. The record is from RNAcentral.